Molecule: non-coding RNA, 1004 nt
Organism: Kogia breviceps (pygmy sperm whale)
Lineage: Eukaryota; Metazoa; Chordata; Mammalia; Artiodactyla; Physeteridae
Source: RefSeq, a predicted model, not a curated record
GCCAUUUAGCCGGUUCCCUUUGCAGUGGAGGCCACACUGCAUUCCAAGUCCUCGAGGUGCGUGGAGCGGUACUACCGGGAACUUGAGGAAGGGCGUUUACGCAACUGAUAAAGCCAACUCCAGCGUGAAACUGAGGGCCUCCAUUACCGAAGAAGAUGCGCGCUCCCGUGCCAGAGCCCCUGCCUGGAGACCUGAUCGAGAUUUUCCGCCCUAUCUACAGACACUGGGCCGUCUACGUUGGCAAUGGAUAUGUGAUCCACCUGGCCCCCGCAAGUGAAAUCGCGGGAGCUGGUAUGGCCAGUGCCAUGUCUGUGCUGACCGACAAGGCCAUAGUGAAGAAGGAUCGGCUGUGCGACGUGGCCGGGAGAGACCCGUACCAGGUCAACAAUAAGCACGAUGGCAAGUACUCGCCGUUGCCUGCCAACAAAAUUGUCCAGCAGGCGGAGGAGCUGGUGGGCCGGGAAGUUCUCUACAAGCUGACCAGCGAUAACUGCGAGCACUUCGUCAACGAGCUGCGCUACGGGGUCUCCCGCAGUGACCAGUGUCUUGUUCACUGGCCCGUCUGGGCCACAGUGACUUGCUGGGGAGGCAUCGACCAACACCCCCUACAGGGAUCAUGCUCCGCCUUCCUCAUACAACUGACAAUCAGCUGUGUUUACUACACUGACCUGCAUGUUGGUUAGUUCAUCCUAUGCUCUGUGUUGAUACAGUAGAUAUCUUCCAAUGGCACCUUCUUGAAAAAUGAAACAAUACAAAUUGGACACAUCCCAUUCUGUUCCUGAGGCUUUAGCCCAAUGCACUAGCCAGCCACCUGAAAGAGGCAAAACCGUGACAACACAAUGAUGAAACAGCAUCAACAAUUCUACUGGACCCCCUCACAGAACGUGAAACCAGAACAUACUACAAAACAAAAAGAGGUCAGAGAUGCCAUCAUGGCAGCUGGCAUUGCAGGAGUGGGCCUGGCAGCCAUGGGCCUCAUUGGAAUCAUGUUCUCAAGAAACAAG